UGACAGCACAGCUAUUUCCAUGUUAAAAUAUUAUGGGAUGCAUUUUCCCCAUUGUUUUUGAUGGUAGGCCACUCUGAUAGGUCUAGAUUAUGAUCAAGUAGCCAUAGUAGCCUACUUGUCCACAGUAAAACUGUAACUUAAAGCAGCUACAGCCUCAGUGUUCACAGUAAAACUGUAACAUAAAGCAGGUACAGCCUCAGUGUUCACAGUAAAGCAGGUACAGCCUCCGUGUUCACAGUAAAGCAGGUACAGCCUCAGUGUUCACAGUAAAGCAGGUACAGCCUCAGUGUUCACAGUAAAGCAGGUACAGCCUCAGUGUUCACAGUAAAGCAGGUACAGCCUCAGUGUUCACAGUAAAACUGUAACUUAAAGCAGGUACAGCCUCAGUGUUCACAGUAAAGCAGGUACAGCCUCAGUGUUCACAGUAAAGCAGGUACAGCCUCAGUGUUCACAGUAAAGCAGGUACAGCCUCAGUGUUCACAGUAAAGCAGGUACAGCC
This is a long non-coding RNA of Oncorhynchus tshawytscha (Chinook salmon), 499 nucleotides long. NCBI's taxonomy places the organism in Eukaryota, Metazoa, Chordata, Actinopteri, Salmoniformes, Salmonidae. The record is from Ensembl.